Long non-coding RNA from Vicia villosa (hairy vetch), 994 nucleotides. RefSeq lists it as uncharacterized. Lineage: Eukaryota; Viridiplantae; Streptophyta; Magnoliopsida; Fabales; Fabaceae. The transcript has 3 exons. The record is from RefSeq and is a predicted model, not a curated record.
UAAUAAAAAGUAUUUAUAGUCAGAGAACCUUCCUCUUUAGUGUCCAUCCUUCUUCUUCUUUCUACUUCACCUUUUCUCAUAUAUCCAUUUGUAUGUUUAAAGCAACACUGCAUAUCAGUACAACCUGCUCUGCUUCUACCUCUGCUGGUCAUCGUGGUCAAGUCACCAUCUCCAUUGCAAUUUGUCAUCUUCUUCAACUAAACCCUAACUUUGGGUAUAAAUUAGAACUUAACACAACCACCAUCAUCGCCGACCAGUUUUCCGGCAACCUCGCACCACCAUGGCAAAAGUAUUGAAUCGAAAGCCGCCGCUCCUCAUUCUGUUAUCCCUCAAGCACUGUAAUGGCAUAUAGUAUUAUUGGCUGCAAAACUCCACUCUCUAAUUGAGGCUGGCCAGAAUUAUAAGAUAUGGUGCACCUGUUGGCUGGAGAUUUCGUUUGAAGAAAAUGUACUUUGAAGGAUUAGAGAUUUGAAGAAAAAUGGUUACUGAUGACCAUUUCGAAGAACAAAUGGCUACUGAUGGCCAUGUUCGAGAAUGUUGUUUAAGUUAAAAUGAAGAUAAUGAGUAUUGGAGCUGGUUCAAGAUAAAUUGUCUUUUAAGGACUUAAGCGUUUUUGCGAAAUGCGAAGGGUACUGAAGCUUGGCGUGUUUUCGUAGCAUUCUCGGUUUUGAUCACGUUGCCACGUAUCGAAAGAGAAUUCAGGCGGGAUGAUUUGAAUUUCGAAACAAUCUGUGUAACCGAACAAGGACAGAUGGCGCCCCAGGGAUGCGAAGCGUAUGCAUGUGAGCAACGUGGCAUCUUAUUAACGUAGGACCGUUAGGGUCAAAAUUAGUAUAAAUAAGAGUCUUAAUGUUAGGAUUUUGUGUGUUCAUUUUUGUACAAAUCACUCACAAAUCACUCAAGUAUCAAGCGUUAAGAGAACGAGUUCGCUGAGAAAUGUACAUAUGACACCACCAUCUUUAAUAUGUUUGUAUUCAUUUUAAUACAAGUAUCU